CGGAGGGAGCUAGCGUUGUUCGGAAUUACUGGGCGUAAAGCGCACGUAGGCGGCUUUUGUAAGUUAGAGGUUGAAAAGCCCCGGGGGCUCAACCCCGGAAUUGCCUUUAAGACUGCAUCGCUCGAAUCCAGGAGAGGUGAGUGGAAUUCCGAGUGUAAGAGGUGAAAAUUCCGUAGAUAUUCGGAAGAACACCAGUGGCGAAGGCGGCUCACUGGACUGGUAUUGACGCUGAGGUGCGAAAGCGUGGGGAGCAAACAGGAUU
RNAcentral lists this ribosomal RNA (262 nucleotides) under uncultured bacterium. RNAcentral's name for it is "partial 16S ribosomal RNA". It matches the Rfam family "Bacterial small subunit ribosomal RNA", at positions 526 to 779 of the family's 1533-position model. The record is from RNAcentral.